GUGGGCCGCUUUCCGGAUUAUUGGGCGUAAGAGCUCGUAGGCGGUUUGUCGCGUCUGCCGUGAAAGUCCGGGGCUCAACUCCGGAUCUGCGGUGGGUACGGGCAGACUAGAGUGAUGUAGGGGAGACUGGAAUUCCUGGUGUAGCGGUGAAAUGCGCAGAUAUCAGGAGGAACACCGAUGGCGAAGGCAGGUCUCUGGGCAUUAACUGACGCUGAGGAGCGAAAGCAUGGGGAGCGAACAGGAUUAGAUACCCUGGUAGUCCAUGCCGUAAACGUUGGGCACUAGGUGUGGGGGACAUUCCACGUUUUCCGCGCCGUAGCUAACGCAUUAAGUGCCCCGCCUGGGGAGUACGGCCGCAAGGCUAAAACUCAAAGGAAUUGACGGGGGCCCGCACAAGCAGCGGAGCGUGUGGUUCAAUUCGAUGCGACACGAAGAACCUUACCAGGGCUUGACAUGUACGUGGUAGGGAAGGGAAACCGGACCGACCCGCAAGGGAGCGUGCACAGGUGUUGCAUGGCUGUCGUCGGCUCGUGCCGUGAGGUGUUGGGUUAAGUCCCGCAACGAGCGCAACCCCUUUUGCUAGUUACAAGUGUCUAGCGAGACUGCCAGGUUAACCCUGGAGGAAGGCGGGGAUGACGUCAAGUCAGCAUGACCUUUAUGUCCUGGGCUACACACACGCUACAAUGGCCGUUACAAUGCGUUGCCAAGCCGCGAGGCGGAGCUAAUCGCACAAAAGCGGCCUCAGUUCAGAUUGCAGGCUGCAACCCGCCUGCAUGAAGUCGGAGUUGCUAGUAAACGCGCGUCAGCUAUAGUGCGUUGAAUGCGUUCCCGGGCCUUGUACACACCGCCCGUCACGUCAUGGGAGUUGGUAACACCUGAAGUCGGUGACCGAACCGCAAGGACGGAGCCGCCGAAAGGUGGGACUGAUAACUGGGACGAAGUCGUAACAAGGUAACC
This 957-nucleotide ribosomal RNA is filed under the name uncultured bacterium. RNAcentral's name for it is "bacterial SSU rRNA". It matches the Rfam family "Bacterial small subunit ribosomal RNA", at positions 534 to 1501 of the family's 1533-position model. The record is from RNAcentral.